UGACGUUUCCCAUUCACUUUUCAGUUGUAGCGCAACAGCAGAGGACUACGGAACAAUAUUUCGGACUAACUUUGAUCGAAAACCACUAAAUUAAUGUCUCAUAUGGCUACAUUUCUUAAGAAGUGUGGGUUUUAUUUCGCCUUCGACGAUAUUAUCGGACUUUUUUUCGGUUCAAGCGAAGUUAUUAGCAGUUGAAAGCAAAGCUCGCGAAUAGCCUAUACUCGCUAGAAAUAGUCUAGCCGAUAUCUAAAAUGAAUAAUCUUAUUUUGUGGUUCAAUUAUAAUUUAAAGCUGAUUUCAAGGAGAAUGUGUAUAGAUUUACUUGUUUUUUUUUCGUCCAGGAGACGGAGCAGGCAUGGAAUUCCAAUUGCUGCAUGCGCAAGUCUGGAAAAUGGAAGUCACCGCCUCCAGGAGGUUGAUCGGUUGGAAAUUCUCCAUGCAGUUUUCCCUUUCCCAAUUCCAGAUAAAACUACUUAACACAAUUAAUAUGUUCAAACUCAUAUGGAAAACUAACAGCGAAACAAAUGGCUGUUUACAAUGUAUACAAUGCAGAGUUGGACUUGUAUUUUUCUUAUUAUUUGCAGUAUGCAGAGCGUGUGUCAUUGCUGUGACUGGAUCCGACACCACUACCGUCACUUGAGCGCAUAAUUCCAUUCUCUGAUGGACCAGAUUGGAGGAGAUAUCACAAAGCAGAAUGCCCCUGUCCUUUUCUCAACAUCACUUUACAGACCCAUAGAUGCCGAGUUUGAGGACAAAGUCAGAUUCCGGAACGAGGUCAUCUAUAAAAUCACAAAACUGUUUGAUGGGAAUAAGAAGUCCGUCACCUGGGACAAGAAAAACCUGGACGAUUUACUUAAAAUUCUAGAAAACUAAUUUGAAAACCUUAAUUCCUGUGUAAGUAACGGGUCUAUUUAAAGUAUAAUCCCUGUUCAUGUCAGGGUUGUCCAAUCCCGUUUAUGUUGAGUUACCCUCCUGUAAGUUUUCGCUCCAACCCCAGUUGUAACUAACCUGGUUAAGUUUAUCAACUACCUAAUUAAUCAGGUGUGGUAGAUUAGGGUUGGAGUGAAAACCUACAGGAAUGUAGUUCUCCAGGAACAGGGUUGGAGAGCCCUGGUUUAGCUGUAGCCUACUGACUCUACAAGUGGAGAAAUGGACUUAUAAAGGACAUAUAAUGUGUUCAACUUUUUCCACAUUUUGUUACC
This is a long non-coding RNA of Oncorhynchus masou masou (cherry salmon), 1201 nucleotides long. RefSeq lists it as uncharacterized. The transcript is spliced from 3 exons. The record is from RefSeq and is a predicted model, not a curated record. Lineage: Eukaryota; Metazoa; Chordata; Actinopteri; Salmoniformes; Salmonidae.